This 733-nucleotide long non-coding RNA is filed under the name Homo sapiens (human). RNAcentral describes it as "HSALNT0400373". Lineage: Eukaryota; Metazoa; Chordata; Mammalia; Primates; Hominidae. The record is from RNAcentral.
UGCUUGUGUGUCGGAGCUCUGAGGCUCCGGCCUGACCUCUCCUCGGGGUCGACGGGAACGUCUCCGGAUGCCAGGACUCGCAAAGGGCUGACAAGAAUGAGGAAAUCCCAGGCGGAGUCCGGGGGAGGCAGCACGGCAUCCCAGCCUCAGGGCUGCCCGGACGGUGUUGGUUGGGGUAAGAUUGGGGAAGAUGCCAGGUGAUAGAAUCCACCCUGCCUCUGACAGCAUCCAAUCUGGAGCAAAGGCUUCUUUCAACCUUCCCCCAAGCUCCCAAUACAAGCCCAAAUUCUGGAACAAGUCCUUUCCAACACCUCCUUCAGAGAAGCUCCCUGGCUCCAGGCAGUGCUUGCUCCCCUCACUGCAGCAGGAAGCCUAACUUGCGAACUGCAGGUGUGCUCCAGGUGGUCACUGGAUGCAAGUUUCUUUUGAUUUCUCCUGCUUAGAAAUGGUGCGAGAACUUUGGAUGUGGAACGUGGAGGAGGAGGAACACGAAGUGGGGAUCUGCACUUGGGGUGGUCAGCACUGCGGAUGCCCAGCAAAGUCACUGCCUGGUCCACAUCCCGGAGGGGUCUCUGCGCCUCAGUCGGCAUCGCAGCUGAUGGUGAAACUUUUGGUGUGGCAGAAGAGUGUCCACAAACUUCGGAAGGUAUCCGCUACAUCCUCCAUAGCCGUGUAUCCCUGCCCAGGGCAAUCUUCUGGGGGAGCGGAAAGUCCUGCUCCCGGGCCAGGGCUG